UGUAGGGUGGCCGAGAAGUUAGGCGGAAGAUUGUAGGUCUUUUUACGGAACGGAGGUUCUCCCUGUGA
Molecule: transfer RNA, 68 nt
Filed under: Entemnotrochus adansonianus
Lineage: Eukaryota; Metazoa; Mollusca; Gastropoda; Pleurotomariida; Pleurotomariidae
Description: tRNA-Tyr
Source: RNAcentral